GACGAACGCUGGCGGCGUGCUUAACACAUGCAAGUCGAACGGUAAGGCUCCAGCUUGCUGGGGUACACGAGUGGCGAACGGGUGAGUAACACGUGGGUGACCUGCCCUGCACUUCGGGAUAAGCCUGGGAAACUGGGUCUAAUACCGGAUAGGACCAUGGUGUGGAUACUGUGGUGGAAAGUUUUUUCGGUGUGGGAUGGGCCCGCGGCCUAUCAGCUUGUUGGUGGGGUAAUGGCCUACCAAGGCGGCGACGGGUAGCCGGCCUGGGAGGGUGGACGGCGAGAUUGGGAUGGGGACUCGGCAGAGACGCAGAGGGGAGGGAGGAGUGGAGGAGACUGCACGGUGGGUGGGAGGCACAUGCGGCGGGGGAGUGUGGUGUAUGACGGGCGUGGCUUUGGACUCUCCUUGCACCGGGGGCGAGGGGUUUCUGAGGGUAGAGGAGGAAGAAGAACCGGCUACAUACGUGCCAGCAGCUGCGGUAAUCGCAGGAGGACCACACGUGUGAAC
Molecule: ribosomal RNA, 507 nt
Filed under: uncultured bacterium
Lineage: Bacteria
Description: partial 16S ribosomal RNA
Rfam family: Bacterial small subunit ribosomal RNA
Source: RNAcentral